AACGCAUAUUGCGCUCUUUGGUAUUCCGAAGAGCAUGCUUGUUUGAGUAUCGGUAAACACCUCAGCCAGAUUCUUUCUGGAUGGACUUGAGCAAACCCAACGUGUAGUCUCUCCGGAGGCAGCGGCGGGUUGCUUGAAAUGCAGGUGCAGCUGUGACAAGAACAGACUGAGCUAAAAGCAUAUCUAAUUUAGUCCGCCUAGCGGAUUAUCUCUAUUUGCUGCAGUUCAACCAAAGUCGUCUUGUCUGGCUGACUGAUGCAGGAUUUGUCAGACUUUCUCUCUUUGGGUAGAUAGACCUUUCAAAACUACGAUCUCAAAUCAAGUAAGACUACCCGCUGAACUUAA
RNAcentral lists this ribosomal RNA (345 nucleotides) under uncultured fungus. Its description in RNAcentral is "eukaryotic LSU rRNA". The record is from RNAcentral. Lineage: Eukaryota; Fungi.